GCUGGGGCGCGGGGCCACCGCCACUGGGCACCCAGGCGGAAGGCCGGCGCGGUGACGGGCCGGAUCCGGGGGCUGUGCCUCCUCCUUCCGGGGAGACUCCAGGGCAUCAGAAGGAAACUCUGCAAGGAUCUGCUAUCACAGAUAUGAAGAGUGGGAAGAAAUGUCCAGACACUGUUAAAAGCAUGAAUGUGGACCUUUGGAAGGAAGAAUUGCAAGGAAACCUGUCUGUCUCAGCUGGGGUUCAUUGUGGGGGAACAACAUCUCCCCUAAGAAUCUGUGAUCAUGGAUCUGCCUUCUCCCAGGUAUAUUUUAAUGGACAGAUUUUUCUCUCAAUGUGGAUCAUCUUCUCCUGAUUUUUUGCAUGCCUGGUAAUUUUGGAUUGGAUGUCUGACAUUGUAAACUUACUUUGAUGGUUGCUGGAUAUUUUUGUACUCCUGUAAAUAAUUUUAUUAUAAUAUGGCCGCCUCACUGAAUGGGGUGCUCAGAGUAGUGAUGAAAAAUUCAUGGAUUAACACUUGAUGCCAGACUGAGAGAGCAAGCACAAGUCGGAGCAGCAGAGAAAGAGG
Neogale vison (American mink) is the source of this 566-nucleotide long non-coding RNA. RefSeq lists it as uncharacterized. The transcript has 6 exons. Lineage: Eukaryota; Metazoa; Chordata; Mammalia; Carnivora; Mustelidae. The record is from RefSeq and is a predicted model, not a curated record.